AGCAGUCGCCGCGGGAAUACGGAGGGUGCAAGCGUUAAUCGGAAUUACUGGGCGUAAAGCGCACGCAGGCGGUUUGUUAAGUCAGAUGUGAAAUCCCCGAGCUUAACUUGGGAACUGCAUUUGAAACUGGCAAGCUAGAGUCUUGUAGAGGGGGGUAGAAUUCCAGGUGUAGCGGUGAAAUGCGUAGAGAUCUGGAGGAAUACCGGUGGCGAAGGCGGCCCCCUGGACAAAGACUGACGCUCAGGUGCGAAAGCGUGGGGAGCAAACAGGAUUAGAUACCCCAGUAGUCCCUGUCUCUUAUAC
RNAcentral lists this ribosomal RNA (303 nucleotides) under uncultured bacterium. RNAcentral's name for it is "partial 16S ribosomal RNA". It matches the Rfam family "Bacterial small subunit ribosomal RNA", at positions 507 to 807 of the family's 1533-position model. The record is from RNAcentral.